Molecule: transfer RNA, 74 nt
Filed under: Parcubacteria group bacterium
Lineage: Bacteria
Description: tRNA-Gln
Rfam family: tRNA
About the family: Transfer RNA (tRNA) molecules are approximately 80 nucleotides in length. Their secondary structure includes four short double-helical elements and three loops (D, anti-codon, and T loops). Further hydrogen bonds mediate the characteristic L-shaped molecular structure. tRNAs have two regions of fundamental functional importance: the anti-codon, which is responsible for specific mRNA codon recognition, and the 3' end, to which the tRNAs corresponding amino acid is attached (by aminoacyl-tRNA synthetases). tRNAs cope with the degeneracy of the genetic code in two manners: having more than one tRNA (with a specific anti-codon) for a particular amino acid; and 'wobble' base-pairing, i.e. permitting non-standard base-pairing at the 3rd anti-codon position.
Source: RNAcentral
UCUGGGGUCGUCUAAUGUUAGGACAGCGGCCUUUGAAGCCGUGAAUCGGGGUUCAAAUCCCUGCCCCCGAGCCA